Long non-coding RNA from Gallus gallus (chicken), 1727 nucleotides. The record is from Ensembl. NCBI's taxonomy places the organism in Eukaryota, Metazoa, Chordata, Aves, Galliformes, Phasianidae.
AAGAGACCUUGAAAAACAGCACAGUUGUAAGAGAGUGUAUCUUCACUUCCUCGCUGCUGGAUAUCCUGACCUGAUUGAGCAACGUAAGAUGCAGGGAAGGUGAAACGGAGACAUGCCUAAACUUAUCCCUGGCUACACAUACUCUGUGGAUUGGUUUUUUAUCAUCUAGAUCUGAGUCUGGAUGGAGUGUUCUAUAACCCAUCGCAGCUUGUAUGACUGAGUUCCCCUGGGCAUUUGUGGAAAAUAGUGAAUGUGCAAGCAUGGAGCCUGGGUGGGGCUGGGCAUCCCCUUAGAGCCUUGUAGGAGCUUAAGGCAGACAGUUGCUGAAGAGUCAUAUGGCAGGAGGAGCAUCCUGGAGCUCUACAGAGUGGUGCAAGAGAGAGUUAUGGUUCUGAAGGUUUUUCAUAAAAUCAUAGAAUCCUGAGAGUUUCUACAGAAAAGCUUACAGUUUCAUUCUGAAGGAACCUUGCAGUACUCUGUCAAAAAUUUAGGCUGUCACUGUAUCUGCUGGGUGAAGAAGUUGUAAAAGACAAAUUACCUUGGAAAUAACACACUAAAGAUGUGCAAAGAGGUCUCUUCAUCUAGCUUAUCUCUUAAGGUGCUGAUAAGAAAUUCCUUCCUCCCCACUCCCAUCCCAAACCUCAUCAUGAAUCCUCACUGAAAACAACUCUCCCAGUCUCCUGAGAGGUGAGGCAACUCCCUGCACUCCACCCUCCUUUCUGCUCCAGCACAGACUGAAAGCUGAAGGACUGAAAUACCAUAGAAGAAGGCUGCUCUUUGCACCGUCAUUGCAUCAAUCACACAGGGUUUGCAGAUGUGAUGAGUACAAGUUGCCUCAGGAGAAAGCAUGCAGAUGUCUACUUGUCUGUAGAGUGACUGAGCCUGAUAAUCUGAUCACAAGUUUGGCAUUAAUUUCAUGGCAUGGCUUCAUGGACAUUUCCUUUCCACAUGUAAGAUGGUGACUAGCAACAAGCACUACUAUCAAUCAGUUAACAUACUUGGCAAUGUGCGUGAUGUUUAGCAAAGAGUUGAGCUGAUGGCACUUUGUAGCCCCCUGAAAUCCUACCAUGCAAAUCCUGUCUGCCUCCAAGGCCCCUGGACAUCUGAGCUGGCUUUGGAAAUACCAGCCUCGUUAGCAGUGACAUUAGCAGAUAUUCUUAAAUCAGGAUGAUUCAGUUAGUGUAGAAUGUGGAGGAAAAUACCCACCUCCAGAGCUGUCCUGAGUUGCUAGGCUGCUCUGUAGUCUCAUGCCUGAGAGAAUUACUUUUAGCGGCAGGGGAUUGCUCUGGGAUGGGGCUGUCCCAGUUGAUGUCAGACAAACAAACUCAGCUUCCCUGACAUCAUUUGGCAACAUGAUACAAAAGAAAUGACAUACAUCAUGGAAAAGGCAUGAGGCACAUCCUGACCUUGUUGCUCUGCACACUCGCCACCCAGCAAAAAAAAAAAAAAAAAAAAAGUCUGCAUAGCUAGACUGUUUCCAUUAGCUGAAGUAAGCACCACUUUACCACUUUAGCAAAAGUAGGAAGGAGAGGUACCUCCUAUUGAAAUAUCUGAGUGCUUUCUAACAAGGAGGUCUUUCAAAUGUUUAAUGUUAUUUUCCCGAGACCACAUUUAUAUUUAAUAGCAGUGUUGUGCAGAAGCAGUUUGGCCCAGCACUUCUGUUCUUUCAUGGAUGAGUUUUUGAAUGAAUUGAUUCAGAUUCUCUUGCUGGGGGAAAUGUAUCUCAC